CUGGACCUAAGACCAUAAUCCAGCUUCCAUUGGGUAGACCUUUCCUAUUCCAGAGAGUAUAGCAGGAUAGCUCUUACAAGAGCUAGUGAUUAUUACCCAAGGGAGUAUAAGAGUAUAGAAAUAUAGCUGUCCCCUCCACACAUGAGACAAGGCUCUAUGUUGAGGGUGAAGAUGAACUGGUUUAAUGGGAGCCACAUGCAGCCUUAUAUGCAAAUCUCCAUGCAAAGGGUUUCCGGAUACAUAUUCCAGGGGCAAUUCCCGCUGGGCCUGAGAGGAGACAACAGUAAAACAUACACAUAAUUAAAUUGGCUCUCAGGUCCAGGACACUCCCACACGAAACAGGGUAACCCCUCCCCUGUGCCUGAGAGAUAAUUGAGUCAGGAACUGUACUAAACUCAAUUAUCUCCAGGCACAGAAAACAUACAUUUUAACAACAUCCCGAAAGUACCCCCAAAACUCAUGGAAUCCCCACAAAAGUAAUAUCCCCUGAUAGCGCCUAUCUGGGGGACCAACAUAUCCAAAAAUCACUCAGAUCGGUCCAGGGGUCCGGGAUUUCCAUGGAAGUCAUUAUUUGACCGACAGCACACAAGGCUCCUGCCCAAAACAGUUCCAGAGAAUCAGGGCUUGUGGCUGGUCUAGUUCAGUAGUUUUAAAACCGAACAAAAUACCGGACAUAGUCAAUAGUCUUACCCUGGAGCUUGUUCCCCUCAUCUAGACGAACCAUUCCACUGAACAGUGCCCUUCCACAAUGUACAGAACUGAAUGUAGGUGAUGAUGGAAGUCCAGCAGUGUUCGGGAGUUUGUGUCUGAAAACAGUUCCAUAAACUCAAAGACCAAACACCGCUGCCUGCGUUCGCCGGAACAAGAUGGCCACAUGUUCGGCCAUACGAAUGGCGGCCACCCAGAUGAACAAUUAGAGCACUGCAGUUAGAAUCGUUACCGAGUGUUAAUAGGGUUUAACAAGCUCCUGGGUGUUUCGUGCUCCUGUUCGGUUCCUAAACCAAAUAUAAAAUCCCACAAAUUAAGUCUGUUAACAUAUGUUUUUAAAGGACCCAUAGUCUUUUGGCAGGAGGCUGGCAAGAAGGCCCCUUCAAGAACACGUGGCAGAGGCAUUUCUGCCACAACCCUGAAGUAAUGAUAUUAAUUGACUUACUAAUAUUAAUAUAUCAACCUAAACUUUUGAUGUGAAGUGUUGCGGCAUCAAUGCUGCAGACAGCAUGUAUAAGCGUCAAAAUGGUGACAUGCACUCGAUACUCUUUAUGAAUUCAGGUUACUCUCUACCCACAGGAAAUAACCUCCCCCAUUAUACAGCAACUAUAAAAUCCCAGAGAGCACUAUUUCUGGUAUUCAAUUAUACAGACACCUUUGUUGAAGAAUCCCAGUAUCCUUUCCUGAUUGGUUCUUGCACUCCUGGUUCUGUUCCUUACCUUAUUGGCUAUUUUGACUCAGAAAGUGUUACUAAUGCAGCUUUGCUGCUUGCCCUGACCCACAGGCUUUUUGACUUUAAUUCUGGAUUUGACACUUCAGGAUCCCCUUACUUUACUUGAUUCCUUAAUAAAGCCCCAAUGCCAUCACUAACUUUUAAGGAACGUGUUCCUAACAUCAGGCCCUCCAAGGGGUUUUGUGUUAUCUAUAUGCAGGGCCGGCCCGUCCAUAGACCGCGCUGGAGUCAUGGCUCCAGACAGCACUCUGACAAGGACGGCAUUUUGCCGCCCCUGUCAGAAACUAAAACAGGAUUUCCCAACCCAUGGCUGCAGUGCAGCAGCACCACACGGGUUGUGAACCUGUGUGAGGAUCCAUCGGGUAGCCCGCGCCUUAGGGCCACCCAAUGGACAUAUGCAAUGAAGGGCCCGGUCGUACGCUGUGGCGCUUUAACAAGCCCCUUCUAUCCUGCACAGAGAGCUGGGAGUAGGUGACAUCCCCAGCACACACAGACAUAUACUAUAUCCCCAGCAUAUACACAGACAUGCUACAUUCCCAGCACACACAGACAAAGACACAUACUACAUGCCCAGCACACACACAGAAACACUACAUCCCCAGCACACACAGACAUAUACUACAUCCCCAGCAUACACACAGACACGCUACAUUCCCAGCACACACAGACAUAUACUAUAUCCCUAGCACACACACACAGACACAUACUACAUUCCCAGCACAGAGACAGACACUACAUCCCCAACACACACACAGGCACACACUUCAUCCCCAACACACGCAGACACACUACAUCCCCAGAACACAUGCAGACACCCAUUUCAUCCCCAGCACACCCACAUACUACAUCCCCAGCACACACAGACACAUACUAUAUCCCCAGCAUAUACACAGACACGCUACAUUCCCAGCACACACAGACAUAUACUACAUCCCCAACACACACACAGACACACUACAUCCCCAGCACACACACAGACACCCAUUUCAUCCCCAGCACACACACAGACACCCAUUUCAUCCCCAGUACACCCACAUAGAGACCAUUGCAGAAGCAUAUAUGUUUUGGGUUUUUUUUUGGGGGUGGAGGUCAGCAUUUCAUACUUCGAUCCAGGCAGCACAAUGUCUUGGGCUAGUCCUGUCUAUCUGCAUAUGGGUUCCAGUUUCCCCGGUCAUGAUCAGACCCCCUUUUGUUAGGGAAAUUGGACUCACAUACUGACAUUCAUAUACACACUCAUGGACCCAUACAUACGCAUACAUAAACACUCAUACACUCAUACACAUAGAUAUGUUCAUACAC
Non-coding RNA from Pelobates cultripes (western spadefoot toad), 2740 nucleotides. NCBI's taxonomy places the organism in Eukaryota, Metazoa, Chordata, Amphibia, Anura, Pelobatidae. The record is from the annotation of a GenBank genome assembly.